This 77-nucleotide transfer RNA is filed under the name Kushneria phosphatilytica. RNAcentral's name for it is "Kushneria sp. YCWA18 tRNA-Arg". It matches the Rfam family "tRNA". Rfam says of the family: Transfer RNA (tRNA) molecules are approximately 80 nucleotides in length. Their secondary structure includes four short double-helical elements and three loops (D, anti-codon, and T loops). Further hydrogen bonds mediate the characteristic L-shaped molecular structure. tRNAs have two regions of fundamental functional importance: the anti-codon, which is responsible for specific mRNA codon recognition, and the 3' end, to which the tRNAs corresponding amino acid is attached (by aminoacyl-tRNA synthetases). tRNAs cope with the degeneracy of the genetic code in two manners: having more than one tRNA (with a specific anti-codon) for a particular amino acid; and 'wobble' base-pairing, i.e. permitting non-standard base-pairing at the 3rd anti-codon position. RNAcentral also lists the same sequence under 6 other names. The record is from RNAcentral. Lineage: Bacteria; Pseudomonadati; Pseudomonadota; Gammaproteobacteria; Oceanospirillales; Halomonadaceae.
GCCCGAGUGGCUCAACUGGAUAGAGCAACGGCCUUCGAAGCCGUGGGUUGCAGGUUCGAGUCCUGCCUCGGGCGCCA